UGCACUAGGGUUAAUCAAAUUCGGCAUUGCGAAAUCGUUCGUCUUCAAAUUCUGGAUCAUCUCAAGAAAUACUACGAGUGGAAUCAUGAACUGUGAAGUUUUCAAGCUGAAAGAACUUGAUGUGGAGCAAUUUGAGAUACAAGAUGUUCUCCAAUGCAUUCUUCAUUCAAUCAUGUUUCACAGAGCAUUAGGUCUGAUAUAUCCAAAGAAUGUGGAUUCG
This 220-nucleotide unclassified non-coding RNA is filed under the name Hevea brasiliensis (rubber tree). Lineage: Eukaryota; Viridiplantae; Streptophyta; Magnoliopsida; Malpighiales; Euphorbiaceae. The record is from RNAcentral.